This is a long non-coding RNA of Herpailurus yagouaroundi (jaguarundi), 138 nucleotides long. RefSeq lists it as uncharacterized. The record is from RefSeq and is a predicted model, not a curated record. Lineage: Eukaryota; Metazoa; Chordata; Mammalia; Carnivora; Felidae. The transcript has 3 exons.
UUUUUCUCCACGUCCUCGCCAAUACUUGUUAUCUCAUUUGUGUGAUAAUCUUCCAUGGGCCUUGAGUGAUGAAUAUAAGGAUAAUCCAGGAGAAAGAAAGAAGGUCAGAUGGCUCAACAGCACUGCCAACGAGGGGUC